CCUACGGGAGGCAGCAGUGGGGGAUAUUGCACAAUGGGGGAAACCCUGAUGCAGCGACGCCGCGUGGGUGAAGAAGUAUUUCGGUAUGUAAAGCCCCAUCAGUAGGGAAGAAAGAAGACGGUACCUGACUAAGAAGCCCCUGCCAACUACGUGCCAGCAGCCGCGGUAAUACGGAGGGGGCGAGCGUUAUCCGGAUUCACUGGGUGUAAAGGGAGCGUAGGCGGCCGUGCAAGCCAGGAGUGAAAUCCUAUGGCUUAACCAUGGAACUGCUUUGGAAACUGUGCAGCUAGAGUGCAGGAGAGGUAGGCGGAAUGCCUGGUGUAGCGGUGAAAUGCAUAGAUAUCAGGAGGAACACCAGUGGCGAAGGCAGCUUACUAGGCUAUAACUGACGUUGAGGCUCGAAAGCGUGGGGAGCAAACAGGAUUAGAUACCCGAGUAGUC
Molecule: ribosomal RNA, 441 nt
Filed under: uncultured bacterium
Lineage: Bacteria
Description: partial 16S ribosomal RNA
Rfam family: Bacterial small subunit ribosomal RNA
Source: RNAcentral